AGGAUGAACGCUGGCGGCGCGCCUAAUACAUGCGAGUCGAGCGACGAAAGGAGAAGGGGUAACCCUUCUCCCUGAAAGCGGCGAACGGGUGAGUAACACGUGGGUAACGUGCCCCUGACUCUGGGAUAACAACGGGAAACCGUUGCUAAUACCGGAUAACCCAUACCUACCGCAUGGCGGGUAUGGCAAAGUUUUUUCGGGCAGGGAUCGGCCCGCGUCCUAUCAGCUUGUUGGUGGGGUAACGGCCUACAAGGCGGUGACGGGUAGCUGGCGUGAGAGCGUGGCCAGCCACACUGGGACUGAGACACGGCCCAGACUCCACGGGAGGCAGCAGUAGGGAAUCUUGCGCAAGUGGGACGAAAGCCUAGACGCAGCGACGCCGCGUGGA
This 388-nucleotide ribosomal RNA is filed under the name uncultured soil bacterium. RNAcentral's name for it is "bacterial SSU rRNA". It matches the Rfam family "Bacterial small subunit ribosomal RNA", at positions 26 to 405 of the family's 1533-position model. The record is from RNAcentral.